UGAACGGGUAAAGCGGAUGCGGCUGCAGUUUGGAGAUUUCCUGGGGCCGUCCGCUCUGGUCGAACUUGGAGAAGCUCCAGAAAGCUUUGAUUUCGCCUCGUCUCUGGCCGUAAAUGACGUCACCCGACACGGCCACCUCCAAGCCCUCGCCCAGAUUGUCCAGGAUGCGCUGGGUCAGCUUGCCUUGGGUUUGAUCCUUGGUGAAGGGUCUUGGCAGGGAGACCAGAGACAGGCCCGAUUCCUGGUCCACCUGCGUCUCCACCUGUUCGGGCCUGAAGGGCCGCCGCACACCGAGCAAUGCGGCUAAAUGUGACUGAAUUGGACUAUCGCGAAAGGAUUACAGAAUCUUGGCUGUACACCAAGCGAUUGAGAACUGCACAUCAACUGACGGGCUGCAAACUCCCGCCAUUGGAUGCGCCGGUUGCCCAGGCGACCCGGUUUCGCCGACUGCACCCUCCACCGCGACUGGACACGGCUGUUGCCACGGCAACGCGCGACCGCCUAUCACGAGCUGGUGCUGCGGCUCCUGUUGCUCGGGAGGGAGCGCAAAGGCUGCUGCUUCCUCUGUGGGGGAAAAGUUGGGAGGAAUUGAGCAAGUUUGCAGUGCAAGCGCACAUCGGAAGUUCCUCUUCCACACCGAGGGCUCUCCAUGGAUGCGGCCGUUGCCGCUCACCUUUGCCCAGGCCUACGGCACAGAAACAGACACGCGCAAAUAGCCUCAAUACACAGAAACGACUGUUCGGGAUGCUGCUGUGUUCAGAAUUAACCAGUAACAUUCAAACACAUGUUAAAUGGAAGUCAACAAAUACCCCAAAUAAAGUUCAACUGCUCUGUUAGACUUUUCCUAACAUUUUCUGGGGCUUGUCGCUUUGUGCUAAUGCUGCCAUUUGGAA
Molecule: long non-coding RNA, 893 nt
Organism: Phycodurus eques (leafy seadragon)
Lineage: Eukaryota; Metazoa; Chordata; Actinopteri; Syngnathiformes; Syngnathidae
Exons: 4
Source: RefSeq, a predicted model, not a curated record